RNAcentral lists this long non-coding RNA (709 nucleotides) under Homo sapiens (human). RNAcentral's name for it is "multidrug resistance-related protein". The record is from RNAcentral. Lineage: Eukaryota; Metazoa; Chordata; Mammalia; Primates; Hominidae.
UCAAGCUUAGGACCACCCACCAUGCCUAUCCAGGUGCUGAAGGGCCUGACCAUCACUCAUUAAGAACAGAGGAGGCUGCCUGUUACUCCUGGUGUUGGUGAGAAGGCAGAUGUAGACAGGCGUGGCUGCAGCCAUGGCUAGGAAAGCGCUGCCACCCACCCACCUGGGCCAGAGCUGGUUCUGCUCCUGCUGCAGGGACACUGAGCUGGCUAUCUCGGCGCUUCGGGCAAGAACUGCAACAGGCUCUCCUGGGUCCUGCAGGUGUACAGCCGGGCCCCUGCCUUGUGCCUCAGCUCUCGAGAGCUGCUGCUGCCGGGUGACCUGAUCCAACCUGAUAAGGUGCCAUCUUCAGCUACCACUGCAAGGCCCUGAGGGCAACAGCAGCACGGCACUGCCCACCCGGCUGCUGAUGGCCUGGUGCCAGCUGGGAGUCCUCCCGGCACUUCGAGGCCACUGAGCCACCCUUCCAGCCCCAGCCCACCAUGGACAGGGGUAUCCAGCUUCCUCCUCAACCUCGUCCUCUGCCCCUGAGCCAGUGACGCCCAAGGACAUGCCUGUUACCCAGGUCCUGUACCAGCACUAGCUGGUCAAGGGCAUGACAGUGCUGGAGGCCGUCUUGGAGAUCCAGGCCAUCACUGGCAGCAGGCUGCUCUCCAUGGUGCCAGGGCCCGCCAGGCCACCAGGCUCAUGCUGGGACCCAACCCAGUGC